GCCAGCAGCCGCGGUAAUACGUAGGUGGCAAGCGUUGUCCGGAUUUAUUGGGCGUAAAGCGAGCGCAGGCGGUUUUUUAGGUCUGAUGUGAAAGCCUUCGGCUUAACCGGAGAAGUGCAUCGGAAACCGGGAGACUUGAGUGCGGAAGAGGACAGUGGAACUCCAUGUGUAGCGGUGAAAUGCGUAGAUAUAUGGAAGAACACCAGUGGCGAAGGCGGCUGUCUGGACUGCAACUGACGCUGAGGCUCGAAAGCAUGGGUAGCGAACAGGAUUAGAUACCCUGGUAGUCCAUGCCGUAAACGAUGAGUGCUAAGUGUUGGAGGGUUUCCGCCCUUCAGUGCUGCAGCUAACGCAUUAAGCACUCCGCCUGGGGAGUACGACCGCAAGGUUGAAACUCAAAGGAAUUGACGGGGGCCCGCACAAGCGGUGGAGCAUGUGGUUUAAUUCGAUGCUACGCGAAGAACCUUACCAGGUCUUGACAUCUUCUGCUAACCUAAGAGAUUAGGCGUUCCCUUCGGGGACGGAAUGACAGGUGGUGCAUGGUUGUCGUCAGCUCGUGUCGUGAGAUGUUGGGUUAAGUCCCGCAACGAGCGCAACCCUUAUUGUCAGUUGCCAGCAUUCAGUUGGGCACUCUGGCGAGACUGCCGGUGACAAACCGGAGGAAGGUGGGGAUGACGUCAAAUCAUCAUGCCCCUUAUGACCUGGGCUACACACGUGCUACAAUGGACGGUACAACGAGUCGCGAAACCGCGAGGUCAAGCUAAUCUCUGAAAGCCGUUCUCAGUUCGGACUGCAGGCUGCAACUCGCCUGCAUGAAGUUGGAAUCGCUAGUAAUCGUGGAUCAGCAUGCCACGGUGAAUACGUUCCCGGGCCUUGUACACACCGCCCGUCACACCAUGAGAGUUUGUAACACCCAAAGCCGGUGAGGUAACCUUCGGGGGCCAGCCGUCUAAGGUGGGACAGAUGAUUAGGGUGAAGUCGUAACAAGGUAGCCGUAGGAGAACCUGCGGCUGGAUCACCUCCUUUCUAA
RNAcentral lists this ribosomal RNA (1030 nucleotides) under uncultured bacterium. RNAcentral describes it as "bacterial SSU rRNA". It matches the Rfam family "Bacterial small subunit ribosomal RNA", at positions 507 to 1533 of the family's 1533-position model. The record is from RNAcentral.